AUACGGAGGGGGCUAGCGUUACUCGGAAUCACUGGGCGUAAAGCGCGCGCAGGCGGCUAUUUAAGUUGGAUGUGAAAGCCUACGGCUCAACCGUAGAACUGCAUCCAAAACUAUUUAGCUAGAGUGUGGGAGAGGAAGAUGGAAUUAGUUGUGUAGGGGUAAAAUCCGUAGAGAUAACUAGGAAUACCAAAAGCGAAGGCAAUCUUCUGGAACACUACUGACGCUGAGGCGCGAAAGCGUGGGGAGCAAACGGGAUUAGAUACCCUAGUAGUCC
Molecule: ribosomal RNA, 274 nt
Filed under: uncultured bacterium
Lineage: Bacteria
Description: partial 16S ribosomal RNA
Rfam family: Bacterial small subunit ribosomal RNA
Source: RNAcentral